Molecule: long non-coding RNA, 5555 nt
Organism: Bombus pyrosoma
Lineage: Eukaryota; Metazoa; Arthropoda; Insecta; Hymenoptera; Apidae
Exons: 3
Source: RefSeq, a predicted model, not a curated record
GAGUCGUAGCCUUCCAGAAGAUACCUUGUUCUGCAGAGUCCAGCUCCUGCGAAUUCGGCGAGGUUCAGGUCGGUGAAGCCAAGCUUCUGGAAGGACCUGCCUCCCUUCAAUUCCUGCGAAAAAUAAUCUAUCGUUAGAACAGGGAUCGAGAACACCGGUGGACGCAUUGGCACUCAUCUUGCAUAGAAACUCGAAUUUAGCGUCCCAUCUGACGGUAUGCUCCUGUACUUCCUCCCUGAAACGAAAAAGAAAAACACGUGAAUAUACGUGCAGGGAAAUAGGACGGACGUGAAACUUAAUUGCAUUUUCAUUUGCCACGCGAUUAACAGUGACAUUGAAACGCGAACGAAUUUGGGUGACCAGUUUGCGAGUGGUCGCUGGUGGAACAAAGGGAUUAAACGAAAGUCACGGUCAACGAUGAUUCACAGUCUCGCGCAGAACACCGCUGAUCUGGCAACUUCUCACCGGCAUCUACCAACCAGAGUCGUUCAAAUGAAUAUUCAGACCACUUUGCUUCCGGUGCAAAAAUAUCCAUCGCCGACGAAUCGUCGAGGCUAACUAGCAGCCACGACGAUUCGUUAUCUUUGGAAUUAGAAACGAAACUGGCGACGAACGACGAAUCUCUAAACGAUCAAACUUACUUCGCCCCAUGGCCAAUAUCUGAGAACUGGAAACAAAGGCGCGCGAUUUUCUCGAUCUGAAUCGCAGGUGUCGAAACGUCGGAAGUGUUCGACGCUUCGACGCUCGAUGAAAUUCGGAAUCGAUCGAUGCGACGAGAAGUUGAUGGUGAAUGAACGUUAUCGUGUGAUUUCGCGUAAUCGACGCUCGACAGGGAGAGAAGAAAACGCGCGACCAAGCUGCUGGGUUUGCUGGCCAGAAGGAUACGCGCGCGUCGUACAAUUUCGAAUCGAAUUGGAAACACUGAGAAAGCAAAUGGCACGGGCGAGGCGUAAGUGGCGCACGAUUCCGGGCUGACCAGUUCCCUUGACCAGAAGAACACGAUCUCGCUCGAUAUCCUGGGACGAGCUUAAGCUGCUGUUGGUAAUGGGAUCGCGCGUUGAUAAUGAUUCACUGUUUGCAAUCGGUUUCACACGCUGCAAAAGGAACUGGACGAACAAGAAUAGAAAUACCGCGGCGGCGAGAAGAUGUAACCAUCUAAAAGCGCAGCUAAAGAGAAACUCGAACAAGUUGUUGGACAUGGCAGCGGCAACUUCGCAUCUCGAACGUCAUCGUACGUAGGAAUUAUCUUAAUGGAAUUAUAUUAUCGGACUGCGGAUCUUCCUGCAAAUUUAUAUCUUUGUCGACACAGCCGUGAAACGCAAAUAAACAGGGAUUCGUGUUAUCUAUUAAGAAUGAAACCGAGUAUUCUUUGCACUUUUAUCUACCUAUUACCUAUACGUUCUGUGCAAACUUCGUACAAACGCGUAAGAAAUCUAUCAGAGACGGGGAACACCUUCGAGACAGAAAGAUAAGUCUCUCCUAGAUGAUCCGCUCCGAAUUCUUGAUCGCUUUAUCCACCGCUCUGUCGAAGAGUCAAUGAUCGACGCGCGUUCGUUCGCGUAAAGAUGAAAAGAAACUUUAACUUCGGAGUAACUGUAAGCCGAUGGAAACGUAAUAGCCAAGACUAGGACUCGGUGAAUACGCGAGCAAGUGGUAUCGAAUGGUAGAUAGUCGGACGGAAAGCGAAAAGAGGCGAAACGCGUCGCAUGCUACUUUCGUCUAUAUUGGCGAGAAGGGCCGUAACAAAGGAAAGUCGGUGACUGCCGGGGAUCGAGAAUCACGAUUGAGAUCGACACGAGCCGGAAGAAUUCGAGUCGGCUCGUCAAGACGGACGAUUAUCGAGUUGACUUCAAUCGAAACGCAGGCGUCUAAAUUGUCGAAGGGAAACGUCGUCGUGGGAGACCGUUAUACGUUAGAUCGGAGGCGGGUUCGUGUAGGAAAAGGUACACGGCUUUCAAGCACCGCUUCCGCUGCUAGGAACACGUGUACGCACUAAUAAUAAGACGCGCUAACUAUAAGCUGACAAUUAACCGAGACCUUCCGUCCGAGACCGAGAUCGCGGUCACAAGCAGGAUCCCGAGGUUUCAAGAACCGUUUGCUUUCCAGUAUCGGCUUUCAACGCAGAAAAUUCAUUGAAAUUAAUGCAGCAGUUUGUAACAGGUUGAAUAACCACACCAGUCUGCUGAGAGGACAGCUUUUCUUUAAAUAGAAAGAACGCAAACUUCGCGUUCAUCGGAAUUACUUGGAAUACGUCGAUGUAUAGACGAUAAAUAAAAAAUUACAAACGACGAGAGAUAUGGACAUUUUUGGAAGCAAUGCGCGCAGGUGGUAGAAGAAUCGAUCGAUCGAUCGGUGUAUAUUAAUUCGUCAAAAACAAUUAUCUUUUUGGUACGUUUAGUUGCGUAUAAAAGUCGCUUUCAAGUUCAUAUUUUGUAACGCGUGAUUUAACGUUAUACGUUACGAAUCUCUGGUUUAACAGCGUGCUUCUAUCGUCAAGCACAAGAAUCGACAAGUUGCGGGCAAUUAAAUGAAAAAACUUGCACAUUUCGAGACAGGAUACCUACAUCUCGACGCUGGAAUACAAUUGUAAUGGCGUAAAGUCAACGCGAUAUCGCGUACGCAUAAACGGUAAGCUUGAAAAGGUUAAACGGUAUAAAUUAAUAGCGUUCCUCCUUCGACGCUGUACCACGCACGCGUUAGUCGUUACGACGUUCGGAUCGUUUUCUAUCGGUAAAUUUUCGCGAUUCGCGUUCGAACCACACCAAACUCGAUCGAGAUCGUCCUGCUUGGUUGGCUGUAUAGGAUUUAAUUGCGCGAUAGUUUACGAGGUUCGAAAUAAAGACGAUAACAGCGUGGUAAGUACAAUGUGUUUUCUUAUCGCGUUAUCGGCGGUUAUCGCGAACAACCACCAGCCACGCUAAUUAUCAGUAACAACGGUCACAUGCCGCAUUGUUCGACACAUAGGCGGCCGAUGUGCUCGCUGGCAAACGAACGAUAAUUACCAUCGGUUAAGGUACACCCGCUGUCGCGCGACGUCUGCGCGUUAUUAACGUAACGCAACAAUUGAACGUGUGAGACAUUGUUGUUACCCAGGUUCGCACGAUCAAUACGAAUCGACGACUCUUUCUCACGACACUUACUGUUCGCGACAACAGCGAUGGACAAAUCUUCGCGUGUUCUCUGUCUUUGCGACACGCGUAACAGAUUAAAUUUAUCGAUAAAGACGAUGAAAAGAUAAAUUGGCAACAGCCAGGCCAAAAAUUCUACGUCCGUCUCUCGUUUGUUCUCGUUGAAUCUACUCUCCUUCGUCGUUAAGGCGCUUAAAAACAUUCCUGGAACGCAAUCUGUCUCGCUGGAAUUAAAGCGCGCGCUGUUGUAAUUGCAAGUACUCGAACAACUCUUUAAAUUCGUGGCUUCUACCGGUCUUUCAGUUCCAGAUUGCAAUUGCCCGUUGGUGGAGCAAAUACGUAUGGAUUUGCGGUUAGCUCGCAGCGCGUACGCUUUCCAUCGUCUUCGAGACUAUCCUCGGAACUCCAACUUUGAACUUGCUGCUACGUUGAUUCGAGGAACUACGUUAUCCUGCCCUUCGGCUCGUUUGAAAUAAAAGUUUGCCUAGCAAUCGGUCAAUUAAACCACUUCUGAAGCAGAAAGUCGAAGACAUCCCUUCCGGUUCGCAGCAAUUGCAACGCACGCGCGAUUCCAAGCGCAUCGUUUCGCCACGGCCAAUGCUUCCGGGCGAAAUUCUAGCUAUUCGUUCGAACCGCUUACGUAACGUCGCUUAUGAAUACGUAACAAUGCAAAGUGAAGGUACUCGGGAAGAGCAGAGUCGAGACAGAUGGAAAGCCCGCUGUUGCGAAUUCCUCGAUCGAUGCUAAUCGGGGUAUACCUUUAUAGCGAGUUUCCUUUGCGUAUCUACCGUUGCUUUCGCGGUACGGUGCUCGCCGGAAACGAUACUUUUCGUAUACGAGACGCGGCGAAUGACACGGGAGCACGAGACAUUUUGCAACGAGACAGAGGCGAAAAUUGACGACGCGCGUAUAAAUUAUCGUAGAGAGCGGUCCGUAACGCGAAAGCGAUAGAAAUGAACGGAUGGCUUUGGGACGAAUGCCAAAACGGUCGGUGACAUUCUAAUCAAGGCUAAAAAGAUCGGCUGUUCGCACCUUUGGCCCGGUUUCGUCAACCGAAAAUUCCCCGAUCUGUUUUAGAUUCAACGCGAGUGUUUGUACGCCAAUCGCCAGUACGACACAGCAAGUUCUUUCGCGCGAACCUCAAGGAAACUUGCAUCUAGCACGCGAAUACGCGACACGAAAACGUUUCGCGCGUGUUGUGAAACCGCUGCGUGUGCAAUUAACCAACCUAGCCCCUUGACUUGCUUCUUUUCUACCUCUAAUUAUCGUUCUCGUUGUUAAAAUAGGAAGACUGUUAUUUUCUCUUUCCUGGCUUAAAUCGAUAUUCCACGUCCUUCUCUCUCAUCUCGUUGCACGCCGUUGCAAUACCGGUGUAUUUUCUGCUUCUUCCUCUUAUCUCAAUUGUCCGCGAUUCUUUACGAGUUCGGCCAGUUGCGUUUCGCAAACGAAAGAACGAUAAAAAUAGGGCACGGCGAAUAAUCCGACUUUGCGUAGCUUCCGAUCGAGUUGUACAUUCGUUGAACGAAAAUUUGUCUGUUCGCCGAAGAAUGCAGUUUGCUCCCGUUCCGUUCCCUGUAACCGGCGCGUGUCCACGCAAACGCUAUUAAAAUGGAAAUUUCGUGGAACAUCGAAGAGGUUCGCAGCUGUACGACGAACAUAUACGCAUCGGACAUGCCUCGAUUUUACACGACGGUAACACAACAGACAUAAAAACCGGUUAACCUUUAAACGUCUAGACUGGAUAUAUUCAAUUUUCACAAGCAUCUGGUUCGCGAGUCAGAUCGAUAAUUUGCCGUCGCGAAACUGUUUGUCUGUUUUCGUUGAUUCCCAGACGCUACCACUCGCCAGACCGUUCAAAUAAUUCACGCGGUUAUCGGCAAGUACCUUCGCACGUGCUUUAUAAUCGAUCGCAACUUCUUAAUAAAUAAAGCAAACAACCGUCGAGACUCGCAGCCGAGAUACGGUUUUCUUUCCACGAAAACGACGAUUUCCGACAACGUGGCGAUUCGUGGGCUACCUUUUUUAAACAUUCACGUCGUCGAGAAAAGUAGCAGCGGAUUUUAAGUUGCCAGAAGGCUACGUGUCUCGAGUCAGUGCCUUUGGACGCUCGUUCUUAGUGCAAUUUCUCGACGAACAUAUCGACCGGAGGCUGGCUAUAAAAAUAUCAGCGCUUAUCUUCUCAAGAAUCUGAACCUCGUUAUUCCUGGAAGCUUUUAACGUUUAGAUAUUUUUAACGAAAGUUUUAAACUUCCUUGCCGAUGCGUUUCGCGAAUACCUGUGACACGAAUUGCGAUCGUGAAAACGACAGCGCAGCGCCAAUACCGAUUAUCGAAGGUCACCACUUCUAAGAAAACUCUGCAUCUGGUCUUUUUAGCUUUCCAAAGCACCGAAGCCAUCGACAGCGUAUAGACAAAAGACUGGGACGAA